AUGUCAGCGCUUGAGAUUCUUCAGUUUGUUAUGGCUGUAGAUUGCUAUCCAAAUGUCUCUGUUGCCUAUCGAAUCCUCUUAACAGUGCCUGUGACUGUAACCUCAGCUGAAAGAAGUUUCUCUAAACUGAAACUACUGAAAAAUUAUUUGAGGUCAACUAUGUUGCAAGAUAGAUUGAAUGGCCUGGCGAUGUGCUGCAUUGAGAAGGAUAUCUUGGACAAUGUUGAUCUUGAUUGUGCCCUUAAUGACUUCGCAUCACGAAAUGCCCGAAGAAACAUUUUUUGA
RNAcentral lists this ribosomal RNA (285 nucleotides) under Triticum aestivum (bread wheat). Its description in RNAcentral is "partial small subunit ribosomal RNA". Lineage: Eukaryota; Viridiplantae; Streptophyta; Magnoliopsida; Poales; Poaceae. The record is from RNAcentral.